UGACUCUGCGCCGAAAAUGUACCGGGGCUAAAUACACCACCGAAGCUGCGAAUUGAUACCAAUGGUAUCAGUGGUAGGGGAGCGUUCUAAGUGCAGUGAAGUCAGACCGGAAGGACUGGUGGAGCGCUUAGAAGUGAGAAUGCCGGUAUGAGUAGCGAAAGACGGGUGAGAAUCCCGUCCACCGAAUGCCUAAGGUUUCCUGAGGAAGGCUCGUCCGCUCAGGGUUAGUCAGGACCUAAGCCGAGGCCGACAGGCGUAGGCGAUGGACAACAGGUUGAUAUUCCUGUACCACCUCUUUAUCGUUUGAGCAAUGGAGGGACGCAGAAGGAUAGAAGAAGCGUGCGAUUGGUUGUGCACGUCCAAGCAGUUAGGCUGAUAAGUAGGCAAAUCCGCUUAUCGUGAAGGCUGAGCUGUGAUGGGGAAGCUCCUUAUGGAGCGAAGUCUUUGAUUCCCCGCUGCCAAGAAAAGCUUCUAGCGAGAUAAAAGGUGCCUGUACCGCAAACCGACACAGGUAGGCGAGGAGAGAAUCCUAAGGUGUGCGAGAGAACUCUGGUUAAGGAACUCGGCAAAAUGACCCCGUAACUUCGGGAGAAGGGGUGCUUUCUUAACGGAAAGCCGCAGUGAAUAGGCCCAAGCGACUGUUUAGCAAAAACACAGGUCUCUGCGAAGCCGUAAGGCGAAGUAUAGGGGCUGACACCUGCCCGGUGCUGGAAGGUUAAGGAGAGGGGUUAGCGUAAGCGAAGCUCUGAACUGAAGCCCCAGUAAACGGCGGCCGUAACUAUAACGGUCCUAAGGUAGCGAAAUUCCUUGUCGGGUAAGUUCCGACCCGCACGAAAGGUGUAACGAUUUGGGCACUGUCUCAACCAGAGACUCGGUGAAAUUAUAGUACCUGUGAAGAUGCAGGUUACCCGCGACAGGACGGAAAGACCCCGUGGAGCUUUACUGUAGCCUGAUAUUGAAUUUUGGUACAGUUUGUACAGGAUAGGCGGGAGCCAUUGAAACCGGAGCGCUAGCUUCGGUGGAGGCGCUGGUGGGAUACCGCCCUGACUGUAUUGAAAUUCUAACCUACGGGUCUUAUCGACCCGGGAGACAGUGUCAGGUGGGCAGUUUGACUGGGGCGGUCGCCUCCUAAAGUGUAACGGAGGCGCCCAAAGGUUCCCUCAGAAUGGUUGGAAAUCAUUCGUAGAGUGCAAAGGCAUAAGGGAGCUUGACUGCGAGACCUACAAGUCGAGCAGGGACGAAAGUCGGGCUUAGUGAUCCGGUGGUUCCGCAUGGAAGGGCCAUCGCUCAACGGAUAAAAGCUACCCCGGGGAUAACAGGCUUAUCUCCCCCAAGAGUCCACAUCGACGGGGAGGUUUGGCACCUCGAUGUCGGCUCAUCGCAUCCUGGGGCUGUAGUCGGUCCCAAGGGUUGGGCUGUUCGCCCAUUAAAGCGGUACGCGAGCUGGGUUCAGAACGUCGUGAGACAGUUCGGUCCCUAUCCGUCGUGGGCGCAGGAAAUUUGAGAGGAGCUGUCCUUAGUACGAGAGGACCGGGAUGGACGCACCGCUGGUGUACCAGUUGUUCUGCCAAGGGCAUAGCUGGGUAGCUAUGUGCGGAAGGGAUAAGUGCUGAAAGCAUCUAAGCAUGAAGCCCCCCUCAAGAUGAGAUUUCCCAUAGCGUAAGCUAGUAAGAUCCCUGAAAGAUGAUCAGGUUGAUAGGUUCGAGGUGGAAGCAUGGUGACAUGUGGAGCUGACGAAUACUAAUAGAUCGAGGACUUAACCAU
Molecule: ribosomal RNA, 1764 nt
Filed under: Bacillus cereus
Lineage: Bacteria; Bacillati; Bacillota; Bacilli; Caryophanales; Bacillaceae
Description: partial 23S ribosomal RNA
Rfam family: Bacterial large subunit ribosomal RNA
Source: RNAcentral